Molecule: ribosomal RNA, 1113 nt
Filed under: Triticum aestivum (bread wheat)
Lineage: Eukaryota; Viridiplantae; Streptophyta; Magnoliopsida; Poales; Poaceae
Description: partial small subunit ribosomal RNA
Source: RNAcentral
AUGCGGGGUCUGACGCGGGCGGGAAAGCGCGCCAGUGAGAUGGCCUUCAACGCCGGCGGUGGAACCAUCAACUGGUUCCCUGGCCACAUGGCUGCCGCCUCACGCGCCAUCCNNNNNNNNNNNNNNGAUUACUUUCUUGCAACUGAUGAAACUUAUGAUCAGAUUCCGUUAUCCUCAGCAAACGAAGACCUUCAGCCGGUGCUUGCAGCUAAGAGGCGUAUCCUUGCUCUAAACAAGAAAGAUCUAGCGAAUCCCAAUAUAAUGAAUAUGUGGGUUGAUCAUUUUCAAUCAUGUAAGCAAGAUUGCAUCUCAUUAAAUGCACAUAGCAGCAACUCUAUUAAUCAGCUGCUUGGGCUUGUGGAGUUGAAACUAAGGGAAGCAAUCUUGAAAGAGCCCACACUUCUUGUUAUGGUAGUUGGAGUCCCCAAUGUUGGAAAGUCUGCACUCAUUAAUUCCAUUCAUAGAAUUGCCAAUUCUAGAUUUCCAGUGAACGAUAAGAUCAAGCGGGCUACAGUUGGACCUCUGCCUGGAGUUACACAAGACAUUGCAGGAUAUAAGAUUGCAAGCCAGCUGAGCAUUUACGUGCUUGAUACACCAGGUGUUCUAGUGCCAAGCAUUCCAGACAUGGAAACAGGUCUAAAGCUUGCUCUGACAGGAGCUGUCAAAGAUUUGGUGGUUGGAGAGGAGCGUAUAGCCAAAUAUUUAUUAUCUCUUCUUAAUAUUAGAAAAACUCCUCUACACUGGGGACGAUUGCUUCACAGAAGAGAAGAAUUUGAUGAAGAGCCAGAUGACAAUUGUGAAAAAGGGUCUAGUGGUUCACUGCGGAGGAGGCGGCAUUUUAACAAUUCUGAUGCCUUGUAUGUUCAGGACUUGGUGAUAGAGGUCCAGAGAACGCUGUGCAGUACAGCCAUGGAAUUCACAGGCAACCUCGAUGAAGAUAACGAGCUGGAAAGUCUAAUUGACUCACAGCUUGUUGCCCUUCGAAAGGUGUUCAGAAUACCCCACAAACCGCUUGAUGAAUCACAUGGCCCGGCAUCCAAGAAGUUAUUGACUCUUUUCAGAUCAGGGAAACUCGGCCCGUUCAUCCUCGACGACCUUCCUGACCAGCACUGA